UUUCAAAGCAGUUCUGUCUUGUUUACUUUUAAUAAUGGGUUUGUUUGCUUUUAAUAAUAAGAACCAGCCCCAGCCCUCCAAUUUUCUGAAGGUUGUGAGCAGAUGGAGGCUUGUGACCUGGAGUUCAGUGGUAAUCUUUCCAGCCACAAGUGGCCAGCGGCCACAGGCAACAAAUGAAAACAGGUUGUGUACAGGGAACCAUUUCAUUUGCAGGGUGUAAUGCUAUUUACCUGGGAUCCUAUCCAGCAGCUUCAAAGGUGGUGGCAGCCAUUACCCAACUAAUGAGCACCACACCUCCUGGCUCCCUGUCCUCAAGGCGGGAAGAUGCCGUGAUGCACAUCAGGAGAUGGAGGGAAAAGAAAUGACUUGCCCACCUGAGUGGCAGAAACAGUUGGGAAAAGACAUUAAGGAAGGGAUGGUGCUGUUGGCUCCAGGCAGUGACUCAAGGAGGCAUUCAUGGAGAAAGAAGAAAGGCCUUUCUCAGCACCAUCUCCCCAGUGCAUCACAGCUAAAAACCACCUUACUGGAUUCUCUUACCCUGGAGAAGAAUGCAUACUGACUGAGGACUCUGCUCCAUGCCUGGCAAAAUAUCUGACAUUUGAGGACACAGAGGUCCAAGCCAGAUUGCUACCUGCCCAAAGCAUCUAAUCCCGGGAUACAUGCCUGCAUCAUUUUCUGAUAUUUUAAAGCAGUGGAUUCCUUUCUAUGGGCUGUGAAGAGAGGGUCCUCCAUGGAAUGUGCUGAAGGGGUUCAUACAUCCUUAUGAACCAACAAGCCUUGCGUAUUGAGAGACUGAAAAUACAAAUGGACAACGGCCAGACCACAUAUAAAAGUAGAACUUGGACCCAAAACCUGCAGAAGCAUGGCCAGGAAACCAACCCACUUAUCUAUAACUAUCAGCCCGGAAAGCCAGCUUACUAUAAGUCAGACUUGCAGGAAGCCAGAAUUGCUAUCCCUAGUAACAAAAUAGGAAGUUAAAGGAUAACUUCUGUAACAAUUGACCCAAAAUGGCUAGGGUUUGAUUAAUAGCCGACAGCCUUCCUGAUUUUUGUCCCUGCUUCCAAUUUAGGACCAACCAGAGAAAGCGAGAUAUGCACCCUAAUCAAUCACAUAGGAUGCCCCACUUCUCAUUAGCCGCCUCCAGCUUCUCCAGGACAACAGCUUCCAAUCAGGGCACGCGGAAGCCUUCCCUUUUUCCCAUUUGAUAAGU
Molecule: long non-coding RNA, 1210 nt
Organism: Cercocebus atys (sooty mangabey)
Lineage: Eukaryota; Metazoa; Chordata; Mammalia; Primates; Cercopithecidae
Exons: 3
Source: RefSeq, a predicted model, not a curated record